Molecule: ribosomal RNA, 510 nt
Filed under: Myxosporea environmental sample
Lineage: Eukaryota; Metazoa; Cnidaria; Myxozoa
Description: bacterial SSU rRNA
Rfam family: Eukaryotic small subunit ribosomal RNA
Source: RNAcentral
CCGCGGUAAUUCCAGCUCCAGUAGUGUAUUUUAAAGUUGCUGCGUUUAAAACGCUCGUAGUUGGAUUACGCAGUGCAAGUUAGUAGAUUGGCGCAGUAGUACAUUAAAUCUGGUCAGUUCUUCAUGUUCUGUGGUUAAACCCGGAAUACUGAGGGGCUGGUCAGAGUGCUACGUGUCGAUUAUAAGCUAACUUGUACUACUUACGCGUGAGGAUGGUAGUUGAUCUUUAGUGUAUCGACUAUUGUGUCUCACGGAGUGUGCCUUGAAUAAAUCAGAGUGCUUAAUACAGGCUUUUGCUUGAAUGUUAAUAGCAUGGAACGAACAAUUGUGUUUAUGCGUGCUAUAAAAGUGCCUUGGUGGAUUCAUAUUUAUCUUUGCAUUUUUAUAGUACGCUGCACCAACCGCCAAUACAGGAUGUUGGUUUCCGUAUUGGGGUGAUGAUUAAAAGGAGCGGUUGGGGGCAUUAGUAUUCUGGGCGAGGGGUGAAAUUCUUAGACCAAACCCAGCUUU